RNAcentral lists this long non-coding RNA (2229 nucleotides) under Salvia miltiorrhiza (redroot sage). RNAcentral describes it as "long non-coding RNA (SMIL_LNC000029)". Lineage: Eukaryota; Viridiplantae; Streptophyta; Magnoliopsida; Lamiales; Lamiaceae. The record is from RNAcentral.
UUUUCUUCUUAAUAUCCAAAUCAAAGUGAUUAAUUACCCAAUUAAUGACAACUCUGCAACCACCAUUGAAAUCUGCAAGACUUUGAUUAAUUAAGUCUUGUAUUUAUUGAGUUUUGGAGUCAUUACCUCUAAGCUUGUAUUUAACUCUGAGUAUNAAUGGUCCCACCAUUCUCUUUAAUAUUUUAUCCUUACUAACACUCUUUAUUUACAAAAAAAAUCACUCAAAAUUCAAUCUCAACCACUCAUCUCAUAAAGUGGUGGGACUCUUUCUCCACUACAUCAAAAUCAUCACCAAUUUUAUUAAAUCUCGUGCCCAAACAAAUUGCCAUAAUCUUAGCGGACGGAGGGAGUACUAUUUAAUAUUUAUAUUUUUUAUUAAAAAUAUUAUUUAAUUUUUAUAAUUGUCGUGGAUGACGCACUACUAGUAAUAAUAAUGUGUGCGUGUGUUGAUCUAAGGAUAAAUAUGUAAUGUACAGGGCUUGAGAUCCUGAGUUCGAGUUCACCGUCAUACGGUCUUUAAAUAUCUUUAUUUACUUGUGUAAUUUAAUAAUAAUAAUAAUAAUAAUAAUAAUAAUAAUAAUAAUAAUAAUAAUAAUAAUAAUAAUAAUAAAGGGUUACAUUAGAUCUUUUCGAAUUCUAGGAUAUACAUUUUCAAUUAGUAGAUUUUUCCCAAUUAUAGAAUAUACAUUAUCAAAAUAAAUGUGAAUACUUAUUGGAAACGAAGGUCCGAACGGAAGGGAGUACUUGGUUAGGGCCAAUGUUUUGAAACGUUCUCCGAUAAUUGCGGCUACUUGCCGCCUCCAUAGUUUUCAAUCGAAAAAAUGACCUUUUCUCCACAACUCUUUAAACUAAUCGAAUAAUUUUGAGACGCUUUUACACUCAGCAAAACAACAAAAGGCGUGGCCCAGGAUAUGGAGAUUAGAUAGUCAUAGAGAUGGCAAGGAUUGAACAACAGAUAUAUGUUUAUAAUAUUAGCCUUUUAAAUUAACACAAACAGUUGCACAUAUUUGACUCUUUUGAUGUCUUAAUUUACACUAAUUAAAUAAUGGAUACCCUGUAAUUAGAAUAUUACAUUAUCAACUUGUUCACAGCUCUCCCUCCUCUCUCUCUCUCUUCAACAUCAUAUCCCUUCCAUUUCAGCCUUCUCUCUCUCUCUCUCUUGUUGGUUGCGUAUGGAAUAGAGCUGUUUUAUAUAUUACAAGUCAGUCAGCGAAUUCCUCUCUAACUCUCUCUCUUUCUAAAGGUACAAUUUUAUUCUGUUGUUCAAUUUCCAACUUGGUGAACUAGGUUUGGUUUCUUGAAGAAGUAGUACAAUAACCUUAAAUCAAGAGUGCAUGUUGUUUGCUUGUGUUUGGUGCAAAUGUGACAGCGGUGGUGGUGUCGAGUAGUAUGUGCAGCCACUACUUGUUGAAGAAGAAGAAGAAGAAGAGGAAGAUGGAGAAUUCCAGGGCGAUUUAACCGACAUAAUCAGAGCCACCGGCGGAGCAGAAACCCCCGCCGCCGCACCGGACUGGCACUUCCCCGCCAACCCGAUCACCUUCUCCACCAACCCGGCCGACGAUUUCGGUGAUCCCUUUGCGCACCUCAGAGAUCCGCUGAUCCAUAUCGAUGCACCGCCGCCGCUGCCAGGGUUCUUCCAUGGCUCCGACGUCAUCAAACCUAGUAGCGUCGAUGACAGCAAUCUAGGUCAUAAAAUUAUUGAUGAUGAGAUGAAGAGACCUCCGAAUAUCUUCUCGAGGAUGCUGCAGAUAUCUCCCACGCCAAAGCCGCCGUUGCAGCUGCCGCUGCCCUGCGAUUCUCCGGUCGUAGUUGCUCCGACAGGAUUAAAGGGUGUUGCUCCGAUGUUAGUGCCAAAUGAUCAUACCUUAAUUUCUCCGAGCAACUCCAGAGGUUGCUUGAUGGAGAGCAGUCUGCAGAUCUCAUCUCCGCGAAAUACGGGCAUCAGAAGAAGGUGGGCAUUUUCUUCUUAAUAUCCAAAUCAAAGUGAUUAAUUACCCAAUUAAUUACAACUCUGCAACCACCAUUGAAAUCUGCAAGACUUUGAUUAAUUAAGUCUUGUAUUUAUUGAGUUUUGGAGUCAUUACCUCUAGCUUGUAUUUAACUCUGAGUAUCACAUGUUGAGGAUCUCAAAAACAACAGUAUUUUUUUCUUUCUUUCCCAAAUCAUUAAAAUCUUUUUAACUUUAAAUCAAAAGUUAAUGAAUUUAUGCGAGUCCCUUAAAAAUCCGAC